Molecule: long non-coding RNA, 1057 nt
Filed under: Drosophila guanche
Lineage: Eukaryota; Metazoa; Arthropoda; Insecta; Diptera; Drosophilidae
Source: RNAcentral
CAUUAUUUUAGGCAGAAUGACCAAAUUCAUUUGCACGGUCUUCCCCCCACCCCUUAACAGCUUUGCUCAUGCUCUCAUUCCCCCCUCUGUCUCAUGCAGCGUGCGGCUCUGGGGGAGGGGACGUGAUGUAGAUGUACAUACAUAUAUGACAGAUGUAAAAUGUAUUUAAACCGAGUAAGUCCACAGAUGCUCAAAAUUUUCUUGCCACAGAAUCAGGGAUGACUUUCCCAUAAAAACGAUACGAAAUAAACUCGGUUUUUUUUUUAAGCCAGAUUUUUAAACUCAGAUCGAAAAAAAAACUGGCUAGCAAAAUGUGCAAUAUAUUUUGCUAGCAGCAGAGUGUGACCAGAGGUGAAAACCGCAUUCCGUACGGUUACACUUCACAGACACCUUUUGUUUACCUUUUUGAACAUGUGUGAAAAUUGAACAAAAGGUUAAUAAAACAAUGAAUGCAAAAUGGAUCCAUGCAGAAGAUUAUUUUAGUGAGACUGGCGGCUCUUGAAUGAUCGGAGGCUGAGGACAAUCAACGAAAUAAGCGACGACAACUUUGAUUAAACCCAUAUCUGCAGGAAAGAAACCCGGACGGUCGUUGUCUAUACAUUUGAGUAUUAUAAAUCAUAUAAAUAUGUGUACAUUUAUGGAAACCCAUGAAACCCCUUUGCACAUUCCGCAGUUUGAAAAUAUGACAGAGAAUUUGCAUGUGGCUGGGAAUAACAUCUGCAGAUUUCUUUGAUUGGUGGAGCAGCAAGGCCGUGCCAAGAAAUAAUUGCGCCCUUCCUAUUCUUCUUUGGAUAGUUUCGAGCCCAGAUUGUCACCAUCGCCCCUUGGCACGACCACUAACCAAAUGGUAUACUAUUGUAUACUAAUAGUAUACUAAAUACUAUACCAUUUGGUUAGUGGCACGACCCUGUGGAGCAGUACUUGGUCCCAAAAGGAGAACAACUUAAAACAGUUUGUUAACAGCCCAGCCGGGUCUGCGUCUUGACAAACUCAAGCAACUGGCGUUCAAAUAAGUUAGACAAACUAAAAGUGCAAAUAAAUUCAAUAUAAUCUCAUU